RNAcentral lists this ribosomal RNA (479 nucleotides) under uncultured bacterium. RNAcentral's name for it is "partial 16S ribosomal RNA". It matches the Rfam family "Bacterial small subunit ribosomal RNA", at positions 28 to 507 of the family's 1533-position model. The record is from RNAcentral.
GAUGAACGCUAGCGGGAGGCCUAACACAUGCAAGCCGAGCGGUAGAGUUUCUUCGGAAACUUGAGAGCGGCGCACGGGUGCGUAACACGUGUGCAACCUACCUUUAUCUGGGGGAUAGCCUUUCGAAAGGAAGAUUAAUACCCCAUAAUAUAAUGAUUGGCAUCAAUUAUUAUUGAAAACUCCGGUGGAUAGAGAUGGGCACGCGCAAGAUUAGAUAGUUGGUGAGGUAACGGCUCACCAAGUCAAUGAUCUUUAGGGGUCCUGAGAGGGAGAUCCCCCACACGGGUACUGAGACACGGACCAGACUCCUACGGGAGGCAGCAGUGAGGAAUAUUGGACAAUGGGUGAGAGCCUGAUCCAGCCAUCCCGCGUGAAGGAGGACGGUCCUAUGGAUGGUAAACUUCUUUUGGACAGGGAUAAACCUACCCUCGUGAGGGUAGCUGAAGGUACUGGACGAAUAAGCACCGGCUAACUCCGUG